RNAcentral lists this unclassified non-coding RNA (549 nucleotides) under Epicoccum nigrum. Its description in RNAcentral is "sequence contains 18S rRNA gene, ITS1, 5.8S rRNA gene, ITS2, 28S rRNA gene". The stretch from base 187 to 340 matches the Rfam family "5.8S ribosomal RNA". Lineage: Eukaryota; Fungi; Ascomycota; Dothideomycetes; Pleosporales; Didymellaceae. The record is from RNAcentral.
UCGUAACAAGGUUUCCGUAGGUGAACCUGCGGAAGGAUCAUUACCUAGAGUUUGUAGACUUCGGUCUGCUACCUCUUACCCAUGUCUUUUGAGUACCUUCGUUUCCUCGGCGGGUCCGCCCGCCGAUUGGACAACAUUCAAACCCUUUGCAGUUGCAAUCAGCGUCUGAAAAAACAUAAUAGUUACAACUUUCAACAACGGAUCUCUUGGUUCUGGCAUCGAUGAAGAACGCAGCGAAAUGCGAUAAGUAGUGUGAAUUGCAGAAUUCAGUGAAUCAUCGAAUCUUUGAACGCACAUUGCGCCCCUUGGUAUUCCAUGGGGCAUGCCUGUUCGAGCGUCAUUUGUACCUUCAAGCUCUGCUUGGUGUUGGGUGUUUGUCUCGCCUCUGCGUGUAGACUCGCCUUAAAACAAUUGGCAGCCGGCGUAUUGAUUUCGGAGCGCAGUACAUCUCGCGCUUUGCACUCACAACGACGACGUCCAAAAGUACAUUUUUACACUCUUGACCUCGGAUCAGGUAGGGAUACCCGCUGAACUUAAGCAUAUCAAUAA